GGCCGGGACCCGGAGCGUAAGAAGAUCCCGAGGGGCCUGAGAGCCUGGCUUGGAGCUAGGGGAGGGGCAGGGACCAGGUGUCAACAACGAUAUUAAUUCUUUAAUGUAUGCUGGCUGAAGCCUGCCUUUUCUGAUGCCCCUGGGGAGAAGACAGACAUCAACCUUUAAUCAGCAGAAGAUACCCCUGCUCUGGAAAAGGAGAUGGGAUAAUGCCUCAGUACCAUCAACUCAUUGGACUCAAAAUUUAAGAUGCCUGUGGAACUCAUUAUAUUGACAGACCUCUGGGAAAGAUACUGAAGCCAGAGGUUGGGGGGAGGGGCUCAGAUACACCCCUUCCCCCCAGGCUCCUCCCCUCCCCCCUCCCUGCCUGUCCAAUUCUAUUUGCCUUCUUCCCAGCACAUUCCUUUGCUCUCUGGACUUUGAACUAAGACCAAAGGAGAGAGAACUGCACUUUAUUUUUGUGGGUUUGCAUUUGGGGCUGUCAUCUAAGGCUUUGGAAUGGGAUUGGUGAUGCCCAGUGGAAAGAUGUGCCACUGAGAGAAGAGAAGAUUGGUCCAUGGCUACUGUCUGAUCCUCUGGACUAGCAAAAACAUCUUCUUGGACUGCAGGACAGGAGACUGAGCAAAAGAGAUAAAAGGUGCUUCCUUUCUUC
Long non-coding RNA from Gracilinanus agilis (Agile Gracile Mouse Opossum), 652 nucleotides. RefSeq lists it as uncharacterized. The transcript is spliced from 3 exons. The record is from RefSeq and is a predicted model, not a curated record. NCBI's taxonomy places the organism in Eukaryota, Metazoa, Chordata, Mammalia, Didelphimorphia, Didelphidae.